Molecule: transfer RNA, 74 nt
Filed under: Bacillota bacterium
Lineage: Bacteria; Bacillati; Bacillota
Description: tRNA-Arg
Rfam family: tRNA
About the family: Transfer RNA (tRNA) molecules are approximately 80 nucleotides in length. Their secondary structure includes four short double-helical elements and three loops (D, anti-codon, and T loops).
Source: RNAcentral
GCCCCCGUAGCUCAGUUGGAUAGAGCGACUGCCUUCUAAGCAGCAGGUCGCAGGUUCGAGUCCUGCCGGGGGCG